Molecule: transfer RNA, 73 nt
Filed under: Stegodyphus mimosarum
Lineage: Eukaryota; Metazoa; Arthropoda; Arachnida; Araneae; Eresidae
Rfam family: tRNA
About the family: Transfer RNA (tRNA) molecules are approximately 80 nucleotides in length. Their secondary structure includes four short double-helical elements and three loops (D, anti-codon, and T loops).
Source: Rfam by way of RNAcentral
GCCUUCAUGGUGUAGUGGUCAGCACACUUGCCGAAUAACCGAGAAGUCCAUGGUUCAAUUCCUGGUGAAGGCC